GACGAACGCUGGCGGCGUGCUUAACACAUGCAAGUCGAACGGAAAGGCCUCUUUCGGGGGGUACUCGAGUGGCGAACGGGUGAGUAACACGUGAGUAACCUGCCCUUGACUUUGGGAUAACUUCAGGAAACUGGGGCUAAUACCGGAUAGGAGCUCCUGCUGCAUGGUGGGGGUUGGAAAGUUUCGGCGGUUGGGGAUGGACUCGCGGCUUAUCAGCUUGUUGGUGGGGUAGUGGCUUACCAAGGCUUUGACGGGUAGCCGGCCUGAGAGGGUGACCGGCCACAUUGGGACUGAGAUACGGCCCAGACUCCUACGGGAGGCAGCAGUGGGAAUAUUGCACAAUGGGUGGAAGCCUGAUGCAGCAACGCCGUGUGCGGGAUGACGGCCUUCGGGUUGUAAACCGCUUUCGCUCAUGACGAAGCUUUGUGUGACGGUAGUGGGUAAAGAAGCACCGGCUAACUACGUG
Molecule: ribosomal RNA, 466 nt
Filed under: uncultured bacterium
Lineage: Bacteria
Description: partial 16S ribosomal RNA
Rfam family: Bacterial small subunit ribosomal RNA
Source: RNAcentral